This 472-nucleotide ribosomal RNA is filed under the name uncultured bacterium. RNAcentral's name for it is "partial 16S ribosomal RNA". It matches the Rfam family "Bacterial small subunit ribosomal RNA", at positions 28 to 507 of the family's 1533-position model. The record is from RNAcentral.
GACGAACGCUGGCGGCGUGCUUAACACAUGCAAGUCGAACGAUGAACCCGGAGCUUGCUCUGGGGGAUUAGUGGCGAACGGGUGAGUAACACGUGAGUAACCUGCCCUGGACUCUGGGAUAAGCGUUGGAAACGACGUCUAAUACCGGAUAGGACCUUGGCUCGCAUGAUCUGGGGUGGAAAGUUUUUUCGGUCUGGGAUGGACUCGCGGCCUAUCAGCUUGUUGGUGAGGUAAUGGCUCACCAAGGCGUCGACGGGUAGCCGGCCUGAGAGGGUGACCGGCCACACUGGGACUGAGACACGGCCCAGACUCCUACGGGAGGGAGCAGUGGGGAAUAUGGCACAAUGGGCGAAAGCCUGAUGCAGCAACGCCGCGUGCGGGAUGACGGCCGUCGGGUUGUAAACCGCUUUUAGUAGGGAAGAAGGGCUUCGGCUUGACGGUACCUGCAGAAAAAGGACCGGCUAACUACGUG